UCCCUGAUGGUCUAGUGGCUAGGAUUCAGCACUUUCAGUACUGAGGCCUGGGUUCAAUUCCUAGUCAGGGAA
Molecule: transfer RNA, 72 nt
Organism: Pelodiscus sinensis (Chinese soft-shelled turtle)
Lineage: Eukaryota; Metazoa; Chordata; Testudines; Trionychidae
Rfam family: tRNA
About the family: Transfer RNA (tRNA) molecules are approximately 80 nucleotides in length. Their secondary structure includes four short double-helical elements and three loops (D, anti-codon, and T loops).
Source: Rfam